RNAcentral lists this ribosomal RNA (546 nucleotides) under uncultured Acinetobacter sp. Its description in RNAcentral is "bacterial SSU rRNA". It matches the Rfam family "Bacterial small subunit ribosomal RNA", at positions 104 to 645 of the family's 1533-position model. Lineage: Bacteria; Pseudomonadati; Pseudomonadota; Gammaproteobacteria; Moraxellales; Moraxellaceae. The record is from RNAcentral.
GGGUGAGUAAUGCUUAGGAAUCUGCCUAUUAGUGGGGGACAACAGGCCGAAAGGAAUGCUAAUACCGCAUACGUCCUACGGGAGAAAGCAGGGGAUCAUUUGACCUUGCGCUAAUAGAUGAGCCUAAGUCGGAUUAGCUAGUUGGUGGGGUAAAGGCCUAAAAAGGCGACGAUCUGUAGCUAGUCUGAGAGGAUGAUAAACCACACUGGGACUGAGACACGGCCCAGACUCCUACGGGAGGCAGCAGUGGGGAAUAUUGGACAAUGGGGGGAACCCUGAUCCAGCCAUGCCGCGUGUGUGAAGAAGGCCUUUUGGUUGUAAAGCACUUUAAGCGAGGAGGAGGCUCUCUUGGUUAAUACCUGAGAAGAGUGGACGUUACUCGCAGAAUAAGCACCGGCUAACUCUGUGCCAGCUUCCGCGGUAAUACAGAGGGUGCGAGCGUUAAAAAGAUUUACUGGGCGUAAAGCGCGCGUAGGUGGCUAAUUAAGUCAAAUGUGAAAUCCCCGAGCUUAACUUGGGAAUUGCAUUCGAUACUGGUUGGCUAGA